Molecule: long non-coding RNA, 2871 nt
Filed under: Panax ginseng (ginseng)
Lineage: Eukaryota; Viridiplantae; Streptophyta; Magnoliopsida; Apiales; Araliaceae
Description: long non-coding RNA (PGIN_LNC008491)
Source: RNAcentral
CGACAUCAUGACGGUUGAUCGCAAUCAGUCACACUAACAAAAAUAUGGUGAUCCUUGCAUUAUCUUUAAGUCCAUAAGUUGUCUGUAUCCAUAACAAAUGCAUUAUUCCACAAAAUGGAAGUUCUAUACAAUAUGAAAGCAUAAUAAAAAGCCUGAACUCUUUACUAACGCUUUUUUUUCCCCUUUUGACAAGUAGGCCCAAUGGGAUGCCCCCCAUGUACAACCAAUCAAAAGAGUAAAAAAAAAAACAUGGCUUACCAAGGCAUGUAUACAACAAAUCAAUAAUAGCAGUAACCAGCCGACCAUAAACCUCAUUUUUCCAGAAAAAGAGAAUACACAAAUAAACAUUUAACAUGCGCAGGUGUUCGUUCCCUCUCUUCAAAAUAUCUCACAUUUCAUUUUCUCCAUAAAAACCCACCAAAGACAAUGAGGAAUCAUGUCCCACCUAGUUCUGUUAUGUUUUUGAAGUCUGACACUUCUCCUAGCACACAAAAAUUGGACCAAUGACCCAUGAUAUUCCCACAAGAGAAUAUUGCCGUCCAUAACCAACUAGUAAAAGCAUAAUGAAGCAAUAAGGGUCACUUACUUCCUUUCACGCUAACACAUGUAGCAAUGAUUCACCAAAAACUUGCCUCUCCUCCAUAACAAUUCUUGAGUAAAAAAAUUCCCAAGCAUUGCUGUCCAUGUAUAAGAACCACAUUUCAAGGAUUACCCACUUUCCACAUACGUAAACACAACUGUAGCCCUACCAAACAAAUGCUGAUAGUAGGAUCUAACUUAAAAGCGGCUAAAAAGACAAAGUCCCAAACUCAAAGAAUUUGCAUGAGCACUAAGAUGCCCAAACUCUCCCAAUUCUAUAACAGCUGCACCACCUCUAAUUCCCAAUCAUGGAAAAUCCUCCUAAAAAUUAGUUGCCGGGGCAUUUGACCAUCCUCCACCAAACCAUAACAAUUAUCUUUUGCAUCCUAAUCCACUACUAAAAUAUGCAAGCGCAUUAUCUAAGCUCUAUCCCCACACAAACAUCACCCCCAAACCUAAUCAACUCCCAUCUCUCACCACAAAUGAAGCACACCUCACAAAUAGGCUGGGGAUUUGGUUACAGAUUUAAACUAAUCACAAAACAAAGUCUCUUUAUUCAUAAUACCAACUCUCUUUGUUCAUGAUACCAACAGUUAGCCUAUCACACAAAUAUAUCAAUAUUUGAGCGAUAUAAAUUUUUAAGAAUUUAAAAAUCUAGCCAUUGAAGCUCCUAAAGUUUAGCUAAUGCAGGAUGAGUGGAUGACAUUCAAAUCAUGCAUAUAGAAUUGUUAAGAUUGGAAACUGAGAGAAAUAUACCCUUGCAUAUUUAUCAUAGAGAAUCCCACACCAAUUAGGAUUCUGACGUAGAAUAUGGAACACAUAGUCAUCAACACAAUUAAAGCCUUUUGAGGCCGCAGUAGCCCUUAUAAUCUUCUCCUCAGCUGCAUAUAAGACCAAACACAACAUUAUUGUACACAUAAAGAGCUUGAGCCAAAAGUUGCCUUAACACAUAGCAACACUGAAGUGCAAUACAUUCGUAGUAGGCAUAAUCCAUAAGCAGAAAAAUAUAAAUAUUUUUUGUUUUGAGUGGGGGAACAUUGACACUACAUUUUUGUUUACAGGAAUUAACCAGUGGAAAGGGAACAUUGACACUACAUCCAUGGGUUGGCAUUGUGAACUGUUCACAAGCUGAUAUCAACAAGAACGUUGACAUGAUAGCUGCACGCCGGAAGGAGCAGGAGUAUUUUGAAUCUAGCCCCGAGUAUGGACACUUGGCCCAUAAAAUGGGUGCAGAGUAUCUUGCAAAGCUUCUAUCCAAGGUUUCUCCACUUCCCUUGAGAUAUGUUCUUGCAGUGAUUUUACUAAAAUAAUGGAUUUAUGAUAUUUAUUCAAACACCCUUAAAUUUGAUAUGUAUGUUUUUUAUUGGUAUCAAUCAGCAUUUGGAGAUUGUUAUCAGGAAGCGAAUACAAGGCAUUAUUGCUCUAAUAAAUAAAACAAUUGACGAGCUUAAUGCGGAGUUGGAUCGCAUUGGCAGACCGAUUGGCGAGAAUGGAGGGGUAUUUAACAUGACCUUUAUGUAUUCAGGAUGCUUAGUUAUCGGAGAGAUUGGUUUUAACCUCGUUCUAACUUGAAUUUCUAACUGUAUUUACAGGCACAGCUAUACCUGAUUUUGGAAUUGUGUCGAGCAUUUGACCGUGUAUUUAAGGAGCACCUAGAUGGAGGGUAAUGCAUAAUUCUAUAAUAUGUUACUCACAAAAUUUAUUAGAAACACUUAUUUUCUUGAUAAGUCAUUUUGUGUAAAUGAUGUAUUUCGAGAAAAUAUAACUCAAAGUCCCUCACAGGUUCAAAUUAAUAAUGUUUCAUGCUCUUGGUGAAAUGCAACUGUGGUUUUCUAGUGUCCAGUGCGACACAGACCAUGGUAACAAGAGAAAGGGGCAGACUUUAACAUGUAUCAUAGCAGGCCCAUAGCUGUAUUUCAUUUUUUAGUCCCCAUUGGGAAAAGGAUCGUUUAAGAAAUGUGCUUAAGGAUUCAUUGAAUCUGAAGUCGGAAAAACUGAUUGAUGAUGGCAAAACCACAAUAAUGAUAGAUUUAGCAACUUUUGCACACGGGCUAACUUGCGUUGUAGUAUUGUUUUGGUUCUUAUUACCUUUUCCAAGUAAAGGAGGAGGAGGAGAGCAGAGAAGAAGGGCGGAGAUAAACUUACCUGAGGUGAUCCCCGAUGCUUUUCUUGCUGCCAUCGGAUAGUCGCGAAAGAUGAGGAGAGGCGCAGCGGCCAGAUAUCCAGCUAUAAUAUACCCCAAACAAAAGGUAAGAAUUGAUCGGAUUUGGUUCGGGUUAAAUACCCCUUUCC